This 464-nucleotide ribosomal RNA is filed under the name uncultured bacterium. RNAcentral describes it as "partial 16S ribosomal RNA". It matches the Rfam family "Bacterial small subunit ribosomal RNA", at positions 339 to 795 of the family's 1533-position model. The record is from RNAcentral.
CUACGGGUCGCAGCAGUGGGGAAUAUUGCACAAUGGGCGCAAGCCUGAUGCAGCAAUACCGCGUGUGUGAAGAAGGCCUGCGGGUUGUAAAGCACUUUCAAUAGUGAAGAAAAGCCUGGUGUUAACACCACCGGGUCUUGACGUUAACUAUACAAGAAGCACCGGCUAACUCCGUGCCAGCAGCCGCGGUAAUACGGAGGGUGCAAGCGUUAAUCGGAAUUACUGGGCGUAAAGCGUGCGUAGGCGGCUUAUUAAGUCAGAUGUGAAAGCCCCGGGCUUAACCUGGGAACUGCAUUUGAUACUGGUAAGCUAGAGUAUGGUAGAGGGGGGUAGAAUUCCUAGUGUAGCGGUGAAAUGCGUAGAUAUUAGGAGGAAUACCAGUGGCGAAGGCGGCCCCCUGGACCAAUACUGACGCUGAGGUACGAAAGCGUGGGUAGCGAACAGGAUUAGAUACCCCGGUAGUC